UCCACGCCGUAAACGGUGCGCACUAGGUGUAGAGGGUAUCCGACCCCCUCUGUGCCGAAGUUAACACAUUAAGUGCGCCGCCUGGGAAGUACGACCGCAAGGUUGAAACUCAAAGGAAUUGACGGGGGCCCGCACAAGCGGUGGAGGAUGUUGUUUAAUUCGACGCAACGCGAAGAACCUUACCUGGGCUUGAACUGCAGGGUAAACCCAUGGAAACAUGGGCUGUGGC
RNAcentral lists this ribosomal RNA (229 nucleotides) under uncultured bacterium. RNAcentral's name for it is "partial 16S ribosomal RNA". It matches the Rfam family "Bacterial small subunit ribosomal RNA", at positions 794 to 1019 of the family's 1533-position model. The record is from RNAcentral.